Molecule: transfer RNA, 89 nt
Filed under: Burkholderiales bacterium
Lineage: Bacteria; Pseudomonadati; Pseudomonadota; Betaproteobacteria; Burkholderiales
Description: tRNA-Asp
Source: RNAcentral
UCGGCGACUGGCUCACGGGAGAGCAGCAUCCCGUCGCGAUGUUCGAGGUCGACGCAUUGCGCGGCGCGGUCUCGGUCGAGCGCUUCGAA